RNAcentral lists this small RNA (1250 nucleotides) under Rattus norvegicus (Norway rat). Its description in RNAcentral is "uncharacterized LOC108351230". The record is from RNAcentral. Lineage: Eukaryota; Metazoa; Chordata; Mammalia; Rodentia; Muridae.
AUUCUAGAAAACAACCCGUUAGCUAAUGACAUUGAGGAAAUUGAAGAACUCUGGAUGACUACAGUAUUAAAUUUGUCUUUACUGAGAAACCUCCUGACUCGGCACUGAUUUAUCUACAGAAAAUGUCUUCCCAACUUGUCAUACGUUCUUCUGUUUUUAUAUUGAAGUUGUUUUCAGUGAAAUAUGUUUUAUAACUUGAGCUUAGCUUUCUCCAUACAGGACUUUCACUGUACAGGUCUGCCAUGGGGCUAGCUACUGCAAGAUUUACUCAAAGAGUACAAAGUCUCCAAAGACCUGGCACAGAUCUGAAUCCUAGAGAAUAUCAUUCAGAACUAGUCAUCCUCAAGUUGAUCAUUGGUCCCAUACAAAGUUCAAAACAAAAGCUGUUUGACAAGAGUAACAUUCAGGAAGAUGUAAUGAAGAAGUUAAGUGCUGAAUAUUUCUGAAAACUCUUUAGUUCCUAAGGAAGUAAAUAAUAAAAUUGAAUUUCCUUAUCAGGCACUGAAAGCUUGAAAUGAUUCCUAGUGCAUUGUCACCUGCAGUUACGGAUGUCUCUCACCAGAGAAACCAUCUACUUUCUUCCUCUGCUGUAGAAAUUGCCAUGCUUUAUGUUGAGGGUAUAUUGUCUUCGUAAAAGAGAUGCCAAGUUCCCUGACAUACUAGACUAUAUCUUCUAAUUUAACAGGAAGUCCACAGCAGAUCUUUUUUUAAAAAGAUCUCUUUAUUAUUAUUUUAUCUGCAUUAGUGUUUCAUCUGAGUGUGCAUAUUUGUGAGGAUGUAGGAUUCCCUGGAACUGGAGUUACAAACAGUUGUGAACAGACAUGUCAGAGCUGGGAAUUGAACACAGAUCCUCUGAAGAGAGAUGCUGAGACAUCUCUCCAAUCUCCACAGUGGACCUUAGACGCAGCACUGGAAGUGCCAUCCUUGUAGAGCUGAGAGCACUAGUGACUGUUCUUUCAGCGCUGCCAUACACAAUUCAAACACUUCAUAUUUAUAUCUUGUUUGGCAAAAAUCUAGUUUGCCAUGUCAAUGUUGGAUAUGUUUUUUUUUUCCAACAGCGGGUCUGCUUUAGAAUAAACAAAUUGUUAAAGCUGUUUAGAAUAUCAAGUGAAAGUAUUAACUAUUUAAUGGGAAAGCAAGCAGGUCACCACCUUUACGAGUAGUAAAGUAAUUUUGUGUGUUUUUAAGUCUUCCAUGGUGUCACAUGUUGAACUAACUUGAAGCAAAAUGUCUUAGUUAGGGUCUUAUUG